RNAcentral lists this ribosomal RNA (464 nucleotides) under uncultured bacterium. RNAcentral describes it as "partial 16S ribosomal RNA". It matches the Rfam family "Bacterial small subunit ribosomal RNA", at positions 339 to 795 of the family's 1533-position model. The record is from RNAcentral.
CUACGGGGGGCAGCAGCUAAGAAUCUUCCGCAAUGGGGGAAACCCUGACGGAGCGACGCCGCGUGGAUGAAGAAGGCCUAACGGUUGUAAAGUCCUUUUAUGGUGGAGGAAUAAUGGAAGUAGGGAAUGACUUUCAGAUGACGUUAAACCAUGAAUAAGCCCCGGCUAAUUACGUGCCAGCAGCCGCGGUAACACGUAAGGGGCAAGCGUUGUUCGGAUUCAUUGGGCGUAAAGGGCAUGUAGGCGGCAUGGCAAGUCUGGUGUGAAAUAUCUCGGCUCAACCGAGGGACCGCAUUGGAAACUGUCAAGCUAGAGUAUCGGAGGGGAAGCUAGAAUUCCUGGUGUAGGGGUGAAAUCUGUAGAUAUCAGGAAGAAUACCGGUGGCGAAGGCGAGCUUCUGGCCAGAUACUGACGCUGAGAUGCGAAAGCGUGGGGAGCGAACAGGAUUAGAUACCCCCGUAGUC